GGUACCGCGAUAUAACAGAACUGUGGGGACACGUGUGGAGAGCACAAGCCGGGAAUGGAAAGCCCGGCGCAAGCAAGGUAGGAGUCGUACUGGCAAAUCCGUACGGCAAUCCGUAGAUGUGAUGCGUACCGAAUCAAGAGUAGGGAAGAGUGUGAGCCAUGCGUCAAGAAAAGCCGCUAUUGUUUGUAUCGCGCCCGUACCGUAAACCGACACAGGUGGAUGAGGAGAGAAUCCUAAGGCCUCGGGAGAAGCAUUGUUAAGGAACUCGGCAAAAUGACUCCGUAACUUCGGGAGAAGGAGUGCCACUGAGAGGUGGCCGCAGAGAAUUGGCCCAAUCAACUGUUUAGCAAAAACACAGGUCUAUGCAAAACCGAAAGGUGAAGUAUAUGGGCUGACGCCUGCCCGGUGCUGGAAGGUUAAGGGGAGAGGUUAGCGCAAGCGAAGCUUUGAACUUAAGCCCCAGUAAACGGCGGCCGUAACAAUAACGGUCCUAAGGUAGCGAAAUUCCUUGUCGGGUAAGUUCCGACCCGCACGAAAGGCGUAAUGAUUUGGGCACUGUCUCAACAAUGCACCCGGUGAAAUUGAAAUACCAGUGAAGAUGCUGGUUACCUGCGCCAGGACGGAAAGACCCCAUGGAGCUUUACUCCAGCUUGAUACUGGGAUUCGGUAUUGCAUGUACAGGAUAGGUGGGAGGCUUUGAAGCGGUAACGCCAGUUGCCGUGGAGUUGUUGUUGGGAUACCACCCUUGCAGUACUGGGUUUCUAACCAGCGGCCUUUAUCAGGUCGGGGGACAAUGUCAGGUGGGGAGUUUGACUGGGGCGGUCGCCUCCGAAAGUGUAUCGGAGGCGCUCAAAGGUUCCCUCAGAAUGGUCGGAAACCAUUCGAAGAGUGCAAAGGCAGAAGGGAGCUUGACUGCGACACCGACGGGUGGAGCAGGUACGAAAGUAGGACUUAGUGAUCCGGUGGUAUAAAGUGGGAUUGCCAUCGCUCAACGGAUAAAAGCUACCCUGGGAUAACAGGCUUAUCACUCCCAAGAGUUCACAUCGACGGAGUGGUUUGGCACCUCGAUGUCGGCUCAUCGCAUCCUGGGGCUGAAGUAGGCCCCAAGGGUUGGGCCGUUCGCCCAUUAAAGCGGUACGCGAGCUGGGUUCAGAACGUCGUGAGACAGUUCGGUCCCUAUCCGGCGUGGGCGUAGGAUAUUUGAGAGGAGCUGUCCUUAGUACGAGAGGACCGGGAUGGACUGGCCGCUGGUUGAUCUGUUGUUCUGCCAAGAGCAUAGCAGAGUAGCCAAGCCGGGACGGGAUAAACGCUGAAGGCAUCUAAGCGUGAAGCCCCCCUCAAGAUGAGAUAUCCCAACGAAAGUUGUAAGACCCCUUGAAGACGACGAGGUAGAUAGGACAGAGGUGGAAGUGUGGUAACACAUGGAGCUGACUGUUACUAAUAGGUCGAGGGCAUAACCU
This 1460-nucleotide ribosomal RNA is filed under the name metagenome. RNAcentral describes it as "bacterial LSU rRNA". It matches the Rfam family "Bacterial large subunit ribosomal RNA", at positions 1440 to 2925 of the family's 2925-position model. The record is from RNAcentral.